Molecule: non-coding RNA, 97 nt
Filed under: Lentibacillus amyloliquefaciens
Lineage: Bacteria; Bacillati; Bacillota; Bacilli; Caryophanales; Bacillaceae
Description: SAM-I sequence
Rfam family: SAM riboswitch aptamer (S box leader)
About the family: The SAM riboswitch is found upstream of a number of genes which code for proteins involved in methionine or cysteine biosynthesis in Gram-positive bacteria. The SAM riboswitch acts at the level of transcription termination control. The predicted structure consists of a complex stem-loop region followed by a single stem loop terminator region.
Source: Rfam by way of RNAcentral
UUCUUAUCCAGAGAGGUGGAGGGACUGGCCCUUUGAAACCUCAGCAUCGGUCAAUGACUGUGCUAAUUCCAGAAAGCCUUAAGCUUGAUGAUAAGAA